CCUACGGGAGACAGCAGUGAGGAAUAGUGGUCAAUGGGCGCGAGCCUGAACCAGCCAAGUAGCGUGAAGGAUGACGGCCCUACGGGUUGUAAACUUCUUUUAUAAAGGAAUAAAGUGAGGCACGUGUGCCUUUUUGUAUGUACUUUAUGAAUAAGGAUCGGCUAACGCCGUGCCAGCAGCCGCGGUAAUACGGAGGAUCCGAGCGUUAUCCGGAUUUAUUGGGUUUAAAGGGAGCGUAGAUGGGUUGUUAAGUCAGUUGUGAAAGUUUGCGGCUCAACCGUACAAUUGCAAUUUAUACUGGCAGCCUUGAGUCCAGUUGAGGUAGGCGGAAUUCGUGGUGUAGCGGUGCAAUGCUUCGCUAUCACGAAGAACUCCGAUUGCGAAGGCAGCCUACUAAACUGCCACUGACAUUGAUGCUC
RNAcentral lists this ribosomal RNA (419 nucleotides) under uncultured bacterium. Its description in RNAcentral is "partial 16S ribosomal RNA". It matches the Rfam family "Bacterial small subunit ribosomal RNA", at positions 338 to 754 of the family's 1533-position model. The record is from RNAcentral.